Molecule: long non-coding RNA, 517 nt
Filed under: Amborella trichopoda
Lineage: Eukaryota; Viridiplantae; Streptophyta; Magnoliopsida; Amborellales; Amborellaceae
Description: long non-coding RNA (ATRI_LNC000755)
Source: RNAcentral
UGCAAACAAAUGUGGGAAAUGCAACAGUGAUGGAGACCACGACUUCUAAUGAACAAAUGUGUCCUAAAACAUGUCCACAAGAAUCCAUAACCCCUAAAACAUGUCAGGGCCAAACACAAAACAUUAGAAUAUAAGAGUUUUAUAGCGAGAAUUUUGAUGAUUACCCACCCUGCAUAAUGCUUAGAAGGAAGUUGACCAUCAAAGCCCGGAAAGUUCAACACCUUUGCACCAUCAGGCGAUGUUAACACAAAGUAAAAGCACUGGAAAGCGAUGAUAAUGGCGAGGAAGAAGAACGAUGAAGAUUGAGACAGAACAGACAUGGCUGUACCAGUUGUAAAGAGUAAAACAUGGUUACUCCAAUACCCACUAUUUAUACAAGAAAUGGCACUGAGAUGCGACGAUUAAAAUGGUGAAUUAAUGUGGAGUUGAUAUUUCUUGGUUGAAUAAGUAAGGAAUUUAUUAUCUUCUCCAUGAAUAGUAUCAAGUUAAUUCCAAUAGCCGUAUACCAGAAAUGGCA